This is a long non-coding RNA of Myotis davidii, 635 nucleotides long. RefSeq lists it as uncharacterized. Lineage: Eukaryota; Metazoa; Chordata; Mammalia; Chiroptera; Vespertilionidae. The transcript is spliced from 4 exons. The record is from RefSeq and is a predicted model, not a curated record.
CCACCCCUGGAAGGUCCGUGUGCCCAAGGGGAGUCAGGCCUGGCCUGCAGUGCGGGCCUCUCCCAACACCUGUUUCUUGUCCCCCCAGACCUCGGCCCCCUGACCAGCACCUCCCCGGGACGUCUGGCCUUGUCUGGGAGGAAGUUCGACUACAGGGUGUUCGCCGCCCUGCCUUCUUCCAGGCCUGUCUAUGACAUGCAGUCCCCAGAUUUUGCAGAGGAACUGAGGUCCCUGGAGCCAUCUCCCAGCCCUGGCCUGCAGGAGGAGGAUGGAGAGGUGGCCUUGGUGCUUCUGGGCAGGCCCUCACCGGACGCCGUGGGCCCCGAGGACAUGGCCCUGUGCAGCAGCCGCCGCCCCCUGCGGCCAGGGCGCCGAGGCCUGGGCCCAGUGCCCUCCUAGAGGGGUGGGUCCCUUCCCCGGACUUGGGGUGGGGGCCCUGCCAGCACCAACACCACCCUUGCCCCAAGUCUUUUAACCUGGGUGUUAGCAUUUUAGAGAUCCCUCAGGAGUUCUGGCCUUCGACUAACAGCUCCCUCCCCAGCCAGGACCUCUUGGCAAGACUGUAACUAGUGAUGUUUGUACAACCAAAGACUCUAUUUUGUGGUUUAAGGAAAAUAAAAUUGACUACGUUUUAC